RNAcentral lists this long non-coding RNA (1220 nucleotides) under Marmota monax (woodchuck). Lineage: Eukaryota; Metazoa; Chordata; Mammalia; Rodentia; Sciuridae. The record is from RNAcentral.
CUCCAUUUCAGUUCUCAUUUAUCUUUUUAAAAAGAAGUUAGCCGGGUAUGGCAGCACACAACUGUAAUCUCAGCAAUUUGGGAAGCUGAAGCAGAAGGAUCACAAGUUCAGCGCCAGCCUUAGCAAUUUAGUGAGCUCCUUCCAUCUCAAAAAAAAUAUUUUAAUAAAUUUUUAAAAGGGCUGGGGAUGUGGCUCAGUGGUUAAGUACCCCCCUCCCCACCCCAAAUUCAAUCCCUGGUACCAAAAAAGAAGAUCCAGUUAAUUAUUUAAGUGCUUGUAUAAUGUUGAGUUAGAAAUAAACAAUGUGUUGGAGAGGCAAAUGGGAUAAAAUAACAAAAAGUAAGAGAUUAAAGAGCCAUUUUGAGGACAGAUGCAGAGAAUCAGAAGGCCUUAAAUUUGUGUCUGAAAAAUGUUCAGGAAAUUCUUGAGGCUUCCAUCAGAACUUAGACCUUAUCAAAAAGUACGUCUAUUUCUUUCUCCUUUAGUAAAUACGCUGAUGUUUUCUGUUUCACUUUCUUGCCAAGUUCAUGGGAUGAUUAUUGUUUAAUUAAGGAGAGUUUGGCUUGUUAACAUUUUAAAUGUCAUCCACUCAGCUGAUACUAAGGCUUAGAGCUUGAGCUUUUGUCCUCUCGUGCUUUUGCCCUACUUAUGCUUUAAACUUGGACUAAGAAUGAUUUUGAAAGCUAAGAAUUUUAUUUUUUUUAAAACUAGGAAAUUAAUCAAAGUUAUUGUAAGUUAGCCUAUUUGUAAUGAAUACGAGAAAGUUUUUGCUCAUUUUGGAAAUGGAUAAUUUCCAGAGACAGAAACCUAGAAGUUAGGAGUAGAUAUCUCUUUAUCUUUCUUUCAGGAAGCAUGUUAUCUGGCUAAGAAGAUAACUUCUGUAAACAGAUGAUGACAGGAGAUGUGUUGCAGACAGUGGGUGAAGAAGGAGAUACUAUGGGAGGAAGGUUCAUUGCAACUGGGAGAGUUAGGGAAUGAUCCAUAGAAAGAGCAAGCAGGCAAGAACCCUGGGUUCUAUCCCUAGUACUGGGGGUAGACUGAAAGAUCACUGAAAUAAGGAUUGGGGGGAAUGGGCAAGCAGGCUCCAUUCUUGACCUAACAAGAUGGACUGGUGCAUCCAUUUAAAUCUAUGAGUGUAUCUAUUAGUUACAUGUCUGCUUCUCUGACAUAAUGUUAGACCCAGUUGAUAAAAUGGGCAUGAUCCAUUUGAGAGAUUUUAG